Molecule: transfer RNA, 77 nt
Filed under: Clostridia bacterium
Lineage: Bacteria; Bacillati; Bacillota; Clostridia
Description: tRNA-Pro
Rfam family: tRNA
About the family: Transfer RNA (tRNA) molecules are approximately 80 nucleotides in length.
Source: RNAcentral
CGAGGUGUAGCGCAGUUUGGUAGCGCGCACGGUUAGGGACCGUGAGGUCGUGGGUUCAAGUCCCGCCACCUCGACCA